Molecule: long non-coding RNA, 316 nt
Filed under: Chinchilla lanigera (long-tailed chinchilla)
Lineage: Eukaryota; Metazoa; Chordata; Mammalia; Rodentia; Chinchillidae
Description: lncRNA (ENSCLAG00000023196.1)
Source: RNAcentral
UAGAGCACUCCUGCUGUGGUGACAAGACUCUGAAGAGAACGGCAGAUGGCUCCCCACUGCCCUCAGGAUGACAUCCAAAUGGCGUAUGACUGGAUUCAAAGGCCACGCUCCUCCCCUACCCUUGCCCUGGCACGGGAGAAAUGCCAGCCACGGGGAGCAGAGCAGCUCCAAACCUUGGAGUGGGGCUCCUGAGGCUCCAGGCUGGCCCCAUAUGGAGUGCUUCUUCUCUCCGACACCUCUGCGUUUAACUCUGGAACGUCCCUCAGUACUUAGAUGCGGCCUGCUCCGACGGACAUCACCAGUCACGCUGUCCUGA